This 31950-nucleotide long non-coding RNA is filed under the name Citrus maxima (pomelo). Its description in RNAcentral is "long non-coding RNA (CMAX_LNC000938)". The record is from RNAcentral. Lineage: Eukaryota; Viridiplantae; Streptophyta; Magnoliopsida; Sapindales; Rutaceae.
UUUUUCGCUUUCAGAAUACAGGGGAAAGCAAAACUAAUCAAACUAAGCAGAACUAAUCAAUCAGCUGGGAAGAGGGAAAUAAGAAGUUCCGAUAAAUUGCUAAAAUAAGAAGUUGAAUAGAUUUAAGGGAGGAGGAGAGGAAAAGAGUGAAAAAUCUAGAGAUGAAACAAAGGGGGAUCCAUUUUCUGCUAAGACAAAUUGAAAAGCGAGUACAAUAAAUGAAAGAUUUGCAAAGAAGGUGUAGGAUCGAGGACAAGAACGAUUCAAAAAAGGGAGACAGAAAAUGAAGAAGAGAUUUCAGAGGACUCUAGAGAUUAGAGAAGAGGGAUGAUUAGGAAAAUGCAGAGGCAGACAGUUGUCAUCUCAAGUCUCAAGGGUAAUCUGAACUUUAUGAUUUUUUAUUUUUUCAAGAAAUAGAUGUACAAAUAAAAUGAAAAAAAAAAAAAAAAAAACCUGUUGUGUGGUCGUGUGGGUUCCUCGAAAUCACUUCGGCAUUUAAUCGAACGGUUGGAUGUACUCAGCAUCUACACUUGCACGAAGGUUCCUGGAAGUUGCGAGUGCUGCCGGCAUUUUCAAACUCGGAAGGUUUCAAUAAUUCUUUUUCUUUGAAAGAAAGGUUUCAAUAAUUAGCUUUGAUAAUUGUGUAAUAUACGAUAAUCUAGUGAUGAUGAUGACUUAUUUAUGUGAUUAAAAGCUAAGCUGGUGGAUUUGUAAGUAAGAACACACGAGCAACCAUUUUUGUUGAUGCGGGAUUCCGGUUCUCCUCGUUCUACGACCAGGAUCUCUGCCCGAUCAACUUCUUCACGACCAGGAGGUCUCCUCGUGAGGCUUCUUCUCCAGAGGUUCCUGCGCACACAGACAAGUCAGAGUACGCCGGUUGUUUUCCCGGCGCAAACCCUCCGACGCUCAAGUCAGAUAUGAAGGUUCGGGGAAUGCUUGCCACAGAUCUUAUGGCUUUUUCGUGGUUUUCUCUUCUUUUGAAUUUCUUUUCUAAUCUCAAAAAUGCUAACCCUUUUACCUUCGUUGGCUACCUUUUUAUAGGCUUCCCCCGAAUCCUAGUUUUCCGCUUUUUUCGAGACGGUAUGGGACUCUGACUGCUGCGUUAUGGGCAAACGUGGGAUCUUGCGUGUUACGCCACGGUUCUGGGGAAAGCGUGGCUGUCGUGGUUCUGUGAGAUCUUGCGUGUUACGCCACGGUUCUGGGGAAAGCGUGGCUGUCGUGGUUCUGUGAGAUCUUGCGUGUUACGCCACGGUUCUGGGGAAAGCGUGGCUGUCGUGCCUAGAUUCUCGGGCUGGAGAGCAUGUCUUGCCAACUGCCGUCGACCGGGUCUCCUCGCCUCUCGACCUCUAGCCGGAAUGGCCUUAUGCCUCUUACAGGAAAUUGGCCUCGCGGAUGACGUGCUCGUGGACGAGCAGGAUAUUUCUGCUCCUGUUCCCCCGCGCACCAGGCUUUUACGGAACACACCGGUUCGCAGAACUCUGCCAUCAGAUAUCUGCUCACCAUGCCUGGUCUCGUCGACGUAUUUCUCCCAAACACCGGUGACGUAUUUCUCCCAAACAAUUUUUAUCUUCUUAUUGCCACAUUCUUCUAAUCAAUUUGCUUUCACCAACAAAAAUAAUUAAUAAUUUGUAAAUAGUUGGAUCUUAAGCUCAAAUUUUGACAAUACAUGAAUGAUAAUGUAUACUUAUUUUUCAAGGGUAAACUCUAUUCAAGAGAGGAUCUCAAUUUUCUAUUAGUUUCUUCAAAUGGGCAUUUUAUCCAACAGUUGAUGAACUCGAAAACUUACACGAAGGUUCCAGGGAGUUGCAAGUGCCGCCGGCAUUUUUCAAGUAAUCAAGUGAUUAACUUUGAUGUGUAAUAAAUAACUUUGAUUAUUGAGUAAUAUAUGAUAAUCAAGUGAUUUUAAUAUGUAAACGGUAGGAUUUUGGGCUCAUAUCUUUAAAUUAAAAUCAUGAUCAUUUUAUCAUUAAACUCGAACUCUAUCUUGAUUAAUAAACAAUUGAGGAUUUUUCAGGAAUAAAUCUUCAAGAAACUAAAUAUGCUUGGCCUAAUGGAAGUUAUUAAAAUGUCAAAAUUAAACCCUUUUAAAUAUAUUAGGGAUUGUAAAGAAUUUCGGAUAGAUUUGAGUGUUACUGAUAUCAAUUGAGGAUAAUGGGGUGAUAAAUUUAUGGAGGAAACUACCAAAAUCUCUCUGUUGUUCUGCGAAAUUGACUAUUUCUUCUUUCUCGUUUUCCUUCAAAAUUUCGCUUACGUACAUGGAUAAAAUAUUUCAUUUUUCAACAGGUGAUGUAAGAUAAUUUUACCUUUUUAAUUUUCCUUGGGAAUUUUAUAUCUAAAUCAUGUUAAAGUGGACCAAAAAGACAAAACAUAGAAAGCGACAAUCCAACAACUAGGUAAAUUUAUUGGGAAACACUAUUUCUGCUAAUUGAAGAAAAUCAAGAAAUGCUGAUUCCGUCAUGCUUAGUUUCAUAAUCAUUAAUAUGCUUUUAUACGAAUCCUUGUUUUUGAAUAUAAUAAUGGUUUAAGAAAUGCAUACCUGUUAGUUCUCCAUUUCUUGACUCCGAGGAAAAUUUGACUUGACAGAUGAAGCAAUGUUAUAAGAGGUUUCAUACACAGCUUCUACGCGAUCACUACCAUGCUUACAUGUAAAACGUUGCUGCCAUGUCAUCAUACUGGACAGACCUUCAGAGGUUACUCUUCGAAGCGUUUCAUUAUGCCACGUGUACUUGGUUAUUUGACUAAUCACGGUUCACAAGUUGAGUGAGUUACUCACCACACCACCUUCCUGCUGCAAAGAAUUUUAAUUGAACUUUGACUUGGUCAGAAACUCAGAAUGAGUGGUGCACGUGAUGCAUACACGUGAGGACCCAAAUGACGAAUUCCAAACGCUGAGUGAUGUACGUGUGAACUAAAUGUUUUCAUUUUAAUACCAGCGGCAAUCACGUACACGUUUAAUGAUUUGAUUAAAUUUGUGUUUAGUUCUAUAAAUGAUUUCAGUCAUUGUUAUGAUUUUUUUGGGUUGACUCGACGGAGCAACUAAUAAUUUCCCAGUUCUGCUACUAAAUUUAUUUCCCACGAUUUGAUUAAACAGAGCUCCACUAAAACUUCAAUUCAUUUCACUAUUGUAAUAGAGGUUUCAUUCACGUUGAAUACCCAGAAUAAUUACUGAUAGUUAUAUAUGGAAUGCUACUUCAAUGUAGCUUACUGCCGCAAUAAUACUCAAUGACUUUCGAUGACAAAAAAAUUUAUCAUUAGAAUGACUGUAAGUUCAUCUAAUGCCGAGUUUCAUCAUUAACUACCAAAAUACUCCAGAAAUCCAAUACAUUUAACUAAACACAAAUUUAAUCAAAUCGUUAGACACUCAACCUGAAAGUGGAUUCGAAGUAAUAUUAAUGAAAACAAAGAAACAGGGGGACCCUCUUGAUCGCCAACGCCAUCUUACCCUUGAUAAAGAGAAAGAAGUCAAGCUCCAUAUAAUAUAAUGCCUCACAAAUUAUACAGAAAAAAAUGGCCUCAUUUCAGAUGCUACAUAGAUGGUUUUCAUGAAUCCUCGUUUUGUGUGAUGAUUUUUUUUUUUUUUUGACAUUUAAUAGAGUAUACAAAAUAAAAAUAAAAAUUUAAAAUUUACUAGAUGAGCCAAUAAAGUAUAGUAGUGUUCAGAAAUUUUUUUUUUUCUAGAAUGUAAAUAACCCACCCAAAGUAAUUUUAUCUUAUUAGACUGAGGUUCUCCCCCCUCCCCCACAAAAAAAAAAAAGCUGCUUCUUGGUUUUUAAUGCAAACACGAUUACACGAAGAGCUUUCGUUAAUAGUGCUUUUAGAUUGGAUUUCUAUGUUAAAAUAUAAAUCAGUUUUAGAACACUAAAUUGAGGGAGAAUGUUGGAUUUGAUCUUAUUGUAGGCAACUUCAAGAGUGUAAGAAACUGCUCCUGGAGCGUGCUAUUACAUGUUUUGUUUGUGGAAAAUGAUAUUUGUGCUGUCAAUUUUAUGCUGCAAUGGCACUAUAGCAUAAGCAAUACCCAUAUUUCUGCAUGUCUUCCGAAUAUCUUGCAGCUGUUCAAAUAACAAUGCUCUUUGUUUGCCUACAAACCUCUAUUUUCUGUCAACAUAAUCGAGGUAGCAACCCGCUAAUAAUUUUGUAAAUUGAGCCUGGAUGAAAAAUUGAUGAAUGUGUGGGUGAGAAUAAUCAUUACUCAAAUCUUUCACUGAUGUCCUAAAUGAUUUCUCCUUCUAUAGAUUACAGUGGUUGGUUAUAAUCACAAAUUGAGGAUCUUGCUGGAAGCUGUUGUUCAAAAAAUUGCAGAAUUCAAAGUGAAACCAAACAGAACACUUAUUUCUGUUCGAAUAGCCGCCGUAAAGUUUGAAUUGGGCAAUUUUUUGGACAAUAUGUUUCCAGCAAGAUCCUCAAAUUUGUGAUUAGAACCAACCAGUGUAGCCUAUGGAAGCAAAAACAACCAUUUAGGAGAUUAGUGAGAGACUUGAGUAGUGAUCUAGUUCCGCACUGGUCUCAGCCUUCUCUUCAGUCUCUUGCUCUUUUGCUUUCGUCUCAGAAACUCCGCGCUGAAUGCCCGUACUUUCACUCUUCCGCUUCUCUGUUUCUGCCUUGAUAUCAUCAAAGAUGGCAUUAAUCGUAGAAUAAGCAGAUAACAAUCUAAAGUGAAGGAGGCCAAAGGAAAGUGAGAUUAAAAAACAAACAGAAGCGAGGGUUUUUUUCAGACGAAAACGGAAACAAGAAAAGGACCAAUUCGAAGAGCUGACAGAACGGAUGACUGAAUAAGAAGUGAGUUGAUUAUUUUAUACAGCCAAUUCAUGUAAUGACAGAUCUGGUUUCGAUCUUUGUAAUUUAAAUGUAUUAUCAGUACGAGGUGAAGGACUUUUUUGUCGACUCAGUCCAACACAAAUUCAAAUUACUAAAGCAACGUGAUACUGGUUUUGAUCUCUGUAAAUUAAGCACAUCAAUACGAGGUGACUCUCACAAGACUUUUGAUGUGCUAUUGCCAGUCAAAUAUGAGACGAAAUCUGAAUAGACUCACUUAGUUGUGUUAUUAUUUAGGAGGUCGAGUCCAGAUAACAUCCAGCUCACUUGCUUUCUCAAUGACCAACAUUUUGUGAGCCAAGCGUUCGACUUCAAACCACUUAGUGCCUGUUUGGUAUGGCUUAUUUAAGAGCCAUAAGUGCUUAUUUAAUCGUAUAAGCACUUUUUAAAAUUUUUUAUGGUGUUUGGUUAUUUUUUUAGUAGAGUUUUUUUAGCUUAAAUAAGCUAAUUUACCUCUACUAACAAAAGCCCAAAAUUUGAGCUUUUGGGAGUAGAGGUUAUAAAGCUUUUCUAAAAAUAUCUAAUAUAAAAAAUAUCACACAAUUUAAUGGUUCAAAAGUACUUUUUUUAUUGACAACCAAACACCCAAUGACUUUUUGUCCAAAAGCUCUAUUGGUAUAAGCUCUAGUGCUAUAAGCUCUACUGUUAUAAGCUUUACUGUUAUAAGCUCUAUUUAAUAAGCUGUACCAAACGGAGCCUUAAUCUGAUUAGAUGAAUUUUCAAGCCGAAAAACAUGCUUUAAUUAAAAACAGAGACAGCAGGUGCCCUGUACUCAGGAUCCGAUCAUACAUAUACAAAGAAUAUCUGCUAUUAAGAAUUUCACAUCUCAAGUAGUUGAAAUUUAGUUUCGAAAGAAAAGAAUGGAAUAAUUGAUAAUAACAAUAAAUUACUAUAUCGCAUGCAUGUUCAGGUGACUUAAUUUGCAUUUACUCUUGCAAUGCCUGACGUGCGCACGUGAUCACAAAAAUAAACUUGAAUAGAAUCUCUCACAUUCACCAGAAAAUUGUUGCACAUAAUAAUAAUACAAGGGAUGCACAGAAAUGGUAAGUUCACACAUCUUUAGUUAAGAUGAUCAAAUGAAGGAAUUGCACACCUAUUUUUACGCUUCCAAAGCUGUAGCGACAGCGUGUAAGUUAAAAUACAAUUGAGGGUGCGUUUGGGAUUGAGGUUGGGCAGCUGUAGCUUAAAAGCUACAGCACUAAAAUGUUUGGUAAACACUAGCUGCUGUAGCUUUUAAGCUAUGUUGAUAUGAUUUUUCACUUGUAUAAUAUAAAAUUUAUUAUAUCUUUAAUAAUUUUAUCAAAAUUAUUAUUUAAAAUUUAUAUUUACUAUAUAUUAUUAACUUUUGUUUCAUAAUUACAGCUUUUUUUUCACAGCAACUGUAGCUUAAAAGCUACAGCACCUCAAUCCCAAACGCACCCUGAAACUAGUUUAGUCGAAGCUCUCAACAUGUGAUGUUUCGCAGAACGAAUACCAGUUUCAGAGAAAUAUUAUCUAAUUUUACACACCUUUCACGGAAUACCAAAAAAUAAAUGAUCAAAUAAAAGAUUACUACAAAAAUACAUUCCUAUCAAUCAUCAUAUAAUUUCAAACUAUAUCUAUUUUUUUUUUUUAGGUUAAUCGAAGGUUCCUGGAAGUUGCAAGUCCCUGCCGGUGUCAAAGGGAAGGUACCAAUCUCGUGUUCGUCCUUCCAAUGUCAAAGGGAAUACUCUGCACCUCUACGCUGGUGUUAGCCCCUGCACUCCAGUCAUGUCGUUGAAGUGCUCGACGUGCACCAGCGGACCACUUUUUCCUGAGUAUUUGAGGUCGAGAAAAUGAAAAUUUCUUGGCAUCAUAGUGCCCAUGAUUUCAGCUGAAAGCCGAGAUUAAUCAUCCAGCAUUAUUCUCCAACUGAGGGGCUUUCUCCUACCCUGCAUUUCGUCUAUUAUUUGUGCCAAUCACCAUACUUCUCCCUCCAGUUCCAAGGCUCGAGCAUGUGCUGCCUGAGCUCCCUUUUUUCGGUAUUCGCUCCUCUGCUACAACUUCCUAAGAUUCGUCCGUUGUGUAAUUGAUCUCUCCCUUCAUGCUCACAUUCUCUCAAAGUAUGAGUUCCAACUCCAUUGUUAGGCACCCCAUUGAGUUGUCCCCCUUAUUGAAGGGAUCUCCUCAUUUCUAUUCCUCCGAUGACUGGGCUUUGUGGCUGUUAAAGAUAUAAAUGUAAAGAAUAUUCUUGUAAUGGUUUUGCUGAUGUGGCAGCUGAGUAAGCAAGGUUGUUAUUGUUAGUUUGUAAGUUUGUUAUAGAGCUGGGAAAGUUAGUUAAUCACAACUUAUUCUUUACACGUGUGUGAGCAAAUGUAGAAGGUUCUGGAUCUCAGUAUAUAAGCUCACUUUCUAUACUCAUAAUUAGUUGAAUAAGAUUUGAUCUGUUUUUCUUAUAUUUUCUCUUAAUGCUCAUUAAAUUUUCCCUCACUUUCUCUGCAACCAAACAAGCACAAAUAACUUGAUUAAACUUCAAUUUGGUAUCAGAGCUAGAUUUAGUCUAAUCUCGUGGCGUUAUCACGCUUGAACACAAACAUCUCAUCUUCAGCCACAACCUUUACCUUCACACCUCCAAUAAAACUUGACUGAUCAAAUUACUUAAUCUGGAAAUCUCAAAUCCUAUCUUCAGUUCGAGCAAAUGAACUUGAAAGUUUGCUUGAUGGAUCCAGAAUCUGUCCAGAUCAAUUUCUCUCAAGCACUCAAGGAAAUGCAGAUGCUAUCUUCAAUGCUUCUGUAAGUUCAAUUGUUGCUUCACGAGAGAAUCCUGAGUUUGCUGUGUGGAGAAAGCAAGAUCAGAUGUUACUGAGCUGGCUGUUAUCCUCCAUCAGCGUUGAAAUCCUCAGUCUUGUGGUAAACUCUAAAACUUCCUAUGAACUGUGGUCUAGUUUAGAGCAACAAUUUGGAUCUGAAACUGUUGCUAAGAAAGUUCAUCUCAAAAUGAUGUUGAAUAAUUUGAAGAAAGGAUCUAUGACUAUGACAUAAUAUUUUAGUAAGUUGAAGUCAGUUACUGAUGAGCUUGCUAUUGCUGGAAGUCCUGUUAGUUCUUUGGAUUUUAUAACUCAUCUCAUCUCUGGAUUAGGUCAGCCUUAUUAUCCAGUAGUUGUGUAUAUUGAAGCAAAUGUUCUAAAAAUGAUUAUUAAUGAGGCUUAUUCAAUGUUGUUGACACAUGAGGCACGUUUAGAAAGUAAUCAAUCUAAUGCUUUCAAGGAAGUGAAACACAACUAUGCUGCUAACUUAGCUCAGGCUGGAAACAAUCAAAAGAAAAUUAAUAAUCAGGGAGGCUAGAAUAACAAUAAUCAAGGAGGCUGGAAUGGAAACACUGGAAACAAAACUGGAUUUAAUAACUAGAAUGGAAAUUUUACAAACAGAGGAGGUUUCAAUCCAGGAAGGGGGCAAAAUUCAGGCAGAGGACAAUGGACUAAUAACUGGAAUAACUGGAAUGGAAAUCAAGGUAGAGAUAAUUUUGCUGGUGCUGUUGGAAAUUUUUCUGGUGGAUUUCCUAGUGGUUUUAAUGGAUUUGGAAGAGGAGGAGGCAGAGGAAGUAUUGUUUGUCAGAUUUGUUUCAAGCACAAUCAUACUGCAGCUGAUUGUAAAGACAGAUUUAACAAAAACUUUGUUCCAAAUUUUUCUGUGCAAGGAAAUUUUCCAGGUCAGAAUCAAACUUCCAGAGUUGCUUUCACGGCUACAUCAGAAGGAGUUGCUGACCAAGGAUGGUAUCUAGAUAGUGGAGCAACACAUCAUCUUACAAACAAUGUAGAGAACUUAGCUGAAGGUAAACCUUAUUUUGGAUCUCAGUUGCUGUUAGUUGGUAAUGGACAAGGUCUUAGAAUCACUUACAUAGGCAAUAUAUGUCUCUUUAUAUCCUUAGGUAAUCAGUUAAACCUUUCUAAUGUUAUGUGUGUUCCCAAAAUUACCAAAAAUCUCAUUAACUUGUCUAAACUUCUCUCUGACAAUCAUAUAACCAUUGAAUUUGUUUCUAAUCUUUGUUUCAUUAAGGACAAGAUGCAAGGAACUUUGCUGGCACAGGGAAUUGCUGAAGAUGGUCUCUUUAAGCUAUUGCCUCAAGAUACACCUAUUCCUGAUUCUAAAGCUUCGGGUUUAAAACCUAGUUCAAUGUUGUCUGUUUUUUCAAAUAAAGAGAUUUUACACUCUUUGAAAGAGUUGAAUAACCAAACAAAUGUCUGUUCCAAUUUGAUCAAUUCUAAUAAUGAGAAUUCUGUCAGUUUUUUAGCUUCUAGUAGUGAGUCUAUGCAGUUGUUGCAUAAUAGGUUUGGUCAUCCAACCAAACAUGUUUUGCAAACAAUAAUGAUAAGUCUCCCCAUGCAUUCAAUCCAUUCUCAAUCUCUUAACUUUUGUGAUGCUUGUCAAUAUGGCAAAUUACAUCAAUUUCAUUUUCCAGUCACUGAUAUAAAAUCAAAAUUCCCUUUCCAACUCUUAUAUGCUGACUUAUGGGGUCCAGCUUCUGUGUUGUCCAUGGAUGGAUACAAGUACUAUAUUUCCUUUGUUGAUGAUUUCACAAGAUAUUGUUGAAUAUUUCCACUCACACUUAAAUAUGAGGCAUUUGAAACCUUCAAACACUUCAAGUCCCUUGUAGAAAAACAAUUUUCUUUAUCCAUCCAAACACUACAAACUGAUAUGGGGGGUGAGUUUAUAGCUUUCAAAUCAUUUCUACAAUAAGAAGGUAUUCAGUUUAGAUAUAGUUGCCCCCAUACUCACCAUCCAAAUGGUGUAAUUGAAAGGAAGCAUAAGCAUAUUGAUGAAACUGGACUCACACUCUUAGCUCAAGCUCACUUACCUCUCUCUUUUUAGUGGGAAGCUUUUCAUACAGCCACCUACUUAAUUAAUAGAAUGCCAACACCUAUUCUCAACAAUUUCUCUCCUUUUUAGAAACUAUACAAUCAGCUUCCAGAUUACAAAUUUCCUAAAGUGUUUGGUUGCUCAUGUUUUCCUUUUCUUCGACCUUAUAAUCAUCACAAGCUAGAUUUUCAUACUAAAAAAUGUGUCUUCAUUGGUUACAGUCCCAUUCACAAGGGCUACAAGUGUCUUGAUUGAACUGGGAAAGUUUUUGUUGCCAGACAUGUUACCUUCAAUGAACUGGAAUUUCCGUAUUCUGAACUGUUUUUGAAAAACAAGUCAAACAUAUUCUCUCAUUCUGAUAUCUCCACUCCAUCUUCAGUUCAUUUCUUUCUUCCUCAAACACCUAUUCUCAGUAAUAGUAGCAAUGAAGAGCCAUGAGCUGCAGUCUCCAGUCCUGCUUUGUCUUCUGCAUCAGAGUCUCAUUCCUUGCAAAAUUAUGUUCAUUCACAAUCCCUUGAUCUAUCUUCAAGACCUUCAAAUUCUUCUCAACCAGUACUCUCUACUCAUCAUAUGGUUACCAGAUCUAAAGCUGGUAUCUACAAACCCAAAACCUAUCUAGCUGUUUCUCAAGACCUUGAACCAUCCAAUGUCAAAACGGCAUUGGCAGAUCCUAGGUGGUACUCAGCUAUGAAAGAAGAAUUUGAAGCUCCCCAAAGAAAUCAAACUUGGUCAUUAGUGCAACAUCAUCCGUUGUCGCAUUUGCAUCAUAAGCCCUUCUUUGCUCGUUCCUUAACUCAUGUAAGAUGGCGGUGAGGGUCUCCAUCUGCCUCUCCAUACACUUUAUUCGCUCAUGCAUCACUCUUUCCCGUGCCUCAUUUACCAUCUCUCUUAGAGUGAUCGUCUCACUGGUCUCAUGCUUGUCUCCUUGGGCACUAUUCCUUCCUAUAUCCAUGUCCACACGCCUGCUUUUCCCUAUGAGUUGCUUUGCUAGUGGUAGCUUUUUGUUCAACUCCCCACAGACGAUGCCAAAAUGUUGAUGCUGAAAUAUGGUCGUACGUGGAAGGGUAACCAGGUUGUCUCGUCAACGCUUAAGUUUGCUCUGGGUGAGGCGCGAAGCUGCUUGUUCUCUCUCCAAUCAAAUGGGUUUAAUGACCUCAACUAACCUUGCUCCUUCUCUUCUGACCUGUACUCACACGAUUAGAUCAAAGGUGCCGGCGGUUUUUCCAGCGAGAACUCUCCAAUACUUAAGUUAGUAUGCAGGGUUUCGGAAAAAAAAAAAACGUUGAAUUAUCAAUCUAUCAAAACUAACAAUUCUUAAAUGAAGGAAGUGUUUCAGAAAGCUUUUUGGAAAUAAGUUCUAGAUCCAAAAUGGCAGAGUUUUCCCCCAUUUUUCCUUUUUUUUUCUUUUUUCCUUUUGUUAUUUUUUUUGGGUUUUUAUAGGCAGCCUCCCCAUGUAUCUAGAACAUCCCCACGUCUUCCAUAUUCGGGCCUUCAUGGGUUUAGAGGAUUUGUGAAAAUCGUGCAUCCGUUAUCGUGCCUUUUCCCGCAUGGUCGGGAAAUGGCGAAACCGUCGCCUAGAUAUGGUAUUGUAUCUGAUAUUUAAGGAAUAGUUCUCUGGUCGACUUUUAGCCAUACAUCAAAGAGGACCCUAGUACUAUUGUGUCUGCUCAUAAUACACCGACCCGAGGAGAUUCUUACCUCGACCAGGCGAAAGCAUGUGUGGCUGGUGCUCUGGUAGUAUAAUCACCCUAACAAAGACGAUUGAGUAUGUUGAUUGAGAUGGAGAAAGACUUGCAGAGUUGGGAGAUGUGCGUCGGCCCAAUGGUAACCGAUUAUUUGAUUUGUACAGCGGCAUUCACUGACUUUAUAUUUUUAAAAAAUUAAGUCAGCAGAACUAAAUGAACUGAGGUAGUGUGUUCGAUUAUAUUAAUUUCUUUUUCUUUUUCAUUGAAAUGAACGCAAAGAGUGGACGAAGAAUUAAAAAAACUUGCGCGAAAUGUGAGGUGAUGAUAAGAGUGAGAAUCCCAAAAUCGGAUCAUAAGUAGACCAAUAGAUUAUCCCACCAUCCAUAGAUUUCAUGAUGGGAUUCGUUUAUUCCAUCACGGAACCGAGCACCAGUAGAUUGUGCCACUGGCCACAACCUCAGCUCCCACGCAAAAGCUUAUCUCAUAUUUGAACAGUUGGCCCACUCCUUGAGUCGUUGGCUUUUCAGUCAACAAAAUAUCACAGAAAACUAAUUAAGGCCAAAAGUUAAAACGAAGAGGCCCCAUCCACCCAUGUGCUUCUAAUUAUAGAAUCUUCACCUAAUUUUCAAGAUUGAUAUUUGAAAUAAAAUUUGAUUAAAAAUUGACAAAAAUAUACUUAAAAUAAUGUCAUUUUAGGUGAAUUUUUUUUUCUAAAUUAGAACCAGAACGAUAUCAUUUUCAAUUUAUAUUUUUUAAAAUUCAAUUUUGUGCCUUAUUUUAGUCUUCCAAUCAUUUUUCAAAUUUCAAACAAAUGAUUCUUAUCUUAUUCAAUCUUUACCUUUUCCUUUUCUCAAAAGUAAACGAAAAUGAAAUAAAAAAGGUUAAAAAAAAAUAGUAAAUGAUGAGACUCGGAUCGGGUGGCUCGCAACUUGGAUGAAGAUUCCUGACAGUUGCUAAUGCCGUCCACAUCUUCCAACCUGCAAUUUGGAAGACCGUUCAAGCUUUCUACAGUAGCUUUUAAUUAAUGACGAUUAAGUUUUGAUUAUUUGACGUUCUUCGUAAAAUGAGAGUAUUUUGAGGUAAUUGAUCAAAUGAAAGAUUACCAUUCAUGAUCUAAUUCCCUAAAUAAUAAAAACACUUGGUCUCAGCUGACUUGCUUCAAAUCAUUAAAUAAUUCUUUUACUUGCUAUUAUUGUUCAUAAAAUAUAUACAAAAUUAGAGCUUGUGUGACUUUUUUUUAGGGUGAAAAUAUUUCUAACUCACACGCUUUACAAAAACUGAAGCCUUUCUUCUUCUUUUUCUCUUCCCCCCCCCCCCCCCCCCCCCCCCUUUCUUAAAUGACAAUUAUUGCAUAAUUGUGAACGAUUGCAUAUUUAAGCCUAAUUUCUUAAUGAUCUAGGUUACGAGUGUAGUAUAUAUACUAGAAUUUAAUAAUGAUGAUCUAUUAUUGAAAUAUAACAAUGGACUUUAGAUAAUAGGAAGAAAGCCCAUUUAUUACAUUAAUACAUUAUAUCAGUGAGAUGAUGCUAAUUUAAUGAAACUCAUGUCCCAAGUUAGGAACAGCUACAUGGGCAUUUCAUCGAACAGUUGAUAUGCUUGGCAGAUAAUCGAAUUUUCCUGGAAGUUGCAAGUGCUGCCGGCAUUUUCAAAAUUGGAAGACCAUUCAAAGGUUUUCAAUAAUUAGCUUUGAUAUUACACGUGUGAUAAUCUUGUGAUGAUGAUGAUUUUAUGUAUCUAAUUAUAAGCUAAGCUUAGUGGAUUUGUAAGUAAGCACACGGCAAAGUAUUUAACCUUCUUAUUGUCGCAUUCUUCUAAUCAAUUAGCUUUCACCAACAAAAAUAAUUAAUAAUAAUGUAAAUGGAGGAACUUGGGAUCAUUAACCAGGGAGGAUCCACAUGUUGUCUACAGUGAGCAAUUGACCAGUAAACUUUUAUUUUUCCAUAAUUUUCUAUAUAAAAUCUUCAUAUUUUCAUGAAAUUACAUAAUUUCUUAUAUAAUUGUCUCCAAAAAAUACCAAUAGGUGCACGAACACAAAUAUGAUGCACACAUCUCUUUAAUUAAUUUAGGGCUUAAAGAGAUUUUAAGAUGACUACAAAUUGAAUAUGGCAGAUCUUGGACACCAUCCAUAAGAAAUAAAACUAGUCUCAAAUUGGAUUUCUGAGUACUCAAACAAAGCUAAAAGAAAGAUAAUGAAUGAAAACUGAAACAAAAAAAUCCUCUCACCAACACCAUAUGACUCUUGAUAUAUAGAAAGAACUUGAGCUCGAGCCUUAUCCAAAAUGCUGCACAAGUAGCGGAAAUCCUCUUUAGAAGCUUGGACUAUCUGUAAACAAAGAGUAAAAACACAUUGAAGGUGCAGUUUUCACAUAAUUUAAUUGCACAAAUUAGCCUCUAUUAAGGACACAAAAUCUUUUAAUUCUCUCUGUAAGCAAUUAAUUUCUUUUUUUAUUUUUCGCUAUGUCUGUCUAACAACUAAUCCUCAACAUAACAACAGAGCAGAGUAGUUAUAUUUUAAAAAGAUGUACCAAUAUAAUUUAACAAAAAUUUCAAUAUAAAUAAAACAUUUUUAGUCAGCAAAAUAGAAUCAAAUCAAAACCUCCCAAAUUAUAUAGAUUUUAUCUUACCACUGUUUUUCGCAUCUUUCUCCUUUUCUUUCGCCUUGGCGGACUUCUCUUUCUCUUUUUCCUCCUUUUCCUAAUCAGAUUUAAAAUGAAUUUAUAAAAAAAUUAAUAUGUACUUUUUUCUUUUUACUUCUUUAUAUAUAUCUGUUAUUAAAUCAGUAAUUUUUAGAAAAAAAUAAAUAAAUCAACAUCUCAUGGUGAAUGAAUACUUACCUUUUUUCUUUUAAGAUAUACGUAUUGAAUGGUUGUAUUAAGGUCGCGAUCCCAAGCCCAAAGUUUAUUAUCAAACACGCUCAGCUGCACUUUCUGUAACUUGGGUGUGCUUAAUUCCCCUUCUGAGAAAAUCUUCAUAUUGGGGCAAUUUUUUACCACUAAUGUUUCCAGAGAUGGGAAUUUGAAGUCGCAAUUAUUCCCAGAGCAGCUGAAACUAGUCAGACUUUUUAAGUCCCAAAGCUUCAAUUCCUUUAAUUCGCUGAAAACAAUUUCAUCUUUUGCUGCAUAAUUAUCUCCCUGAUCAUCCUCAUCUGCCACUAUUUCUGUUAUCAUCCUGGAUGAUUGUAUACUCAUUUUUCUCAGUCGCACCAGACUCCUUGCCGUUGAGGAUGUUAGAACGUUGAUCAUUCCACGGCAACCACAUACCUUCAAAGUUGUUAGGUUCUGAAAGGAUGUCGAGGAUGGCACUAGAUUAGUCAAAUUGUUACACAUGAAUAUCUCCAGCUGUUCCAAAUUGUUGGUAUUGGUUGACACUUGUUUGAAAAUCUGCUUCAGUUCACGACGCUGGUUUAUUCCCCUCAUCAUUGCUUUCAUCCCAUUUUCAAGCUUUUCAAAUGAUCUGUACAAAGGCCCAUUGUCCCCUCUUAUAGAGAGAAUUUUGAUGGUGUGAAAUCUAUGGAGGAAAUCGUCAAGUGAUAAAAUAGUACUUGACUCAUCAAGCCCGACAUCUAGAUAUUUAAGUUUGCAAAGCCAGUCUUCUGGAAAUAGGCCUAUGUGCUUUUCAUCAACACUCAAUUCUUCCAAAUUGGGGAACACCUGGGUGAUCAUCAAUCACGAAAAAAGCAAGAUGGAGUUAACACUUCUUUCUUACGAUUUCACAAAUUAAAGUAAAUACAAAGCAUUCCAAUGAUGCAUAUUGAUGGCCGGACAAAUUUAUAUAUAUGCGGAGAGAGCAUGAUUUUCAGCUGUAAAAACAAAGCAUUCCAUUUAAGUAAUGUGUAUUUUCUUCCAUUCUCUCCUCUUAACUCUUGUCCAGUAGAUAGAUUUUCAAAUUUUAUUAGAUUUGUGCAUAAUCUCUAUGAAAAAAGACUUCAAUUAUUCUCAAAUUGCAUUUAAACUUUGAGAUUCUUUUAAUUGAUCCGUUUAUUUGGUUUGAAUUGAAAAUCUUACAAAUUUCUAUAUAUUUAAAAAAAUAUUGGAGUUUUAACUUUUUCUUAAAGCAAAAAUGAAUAAAUAAUAUGAAUUUUAAAAGUUUAAUAAUAUAGUAAGAAGUUGGUAUUUCAUUAAUAUUCAUCCAACUCAAUGGAAUUGGAUAUAUUUACUAUUGUGCAAGAAUGGAUUUUAUUGUACAUAAAGUUUAAUAGAAUAAGAUUUCUUAAUUUGAGUUUUGUCCAUCUUUCUAUAUAUAUUUCAAAAAUAUUAUUUAUGUUACCACGAGAUGACCAAUUUCUACUUCAACAUCAAAAUUGAUAAUCAUUUUGUAUGUAACAAUAUUGUACAAAGGAGUACUAAUUUGGAAAUAGCUCUUGAACGAUUUUCAGGGAAUUAACUAUGGCUUGAAAAACUCUAGAUCUUAUGAGUAUUUUCUUUGUUUGGCUAAUCAAAUGCACUGUCCCUUCCGUGUAUUUAACUAAACAUGUAGACAUAAAAUAAAAAGUAGAGGAAGAAGAAAAACUCUGAUAAUUAAGAGAAAAAAAAAAUUGAACAAGAAGGAAAAAAAUAAUUGUUUACUAUAUAUCUUUUUUUUUUUCAUUCGGUCUAACUGACAUCCAAAAAAAAAAAAAUUAUGUUUGUAAGGAUAUUAUAAAGUAUAAUUAAAUAAACUGAUUUAUAGAACUAACAUUUUGUUACUAAAAGACGAAGUGAUGAGGGCGAGGAAGACAAUAAAACUCUGAACUCUCAAAGUAGAAAUACUUUUCAGUCCGUAAGAAUUGAAAAAUAAUUACAAAAAUCUCGCACGCGUACCUUUUCAAUAUGCAGAUCACCUGUGCAGAAGCUUGUAAGCUGCGGAAGAGAACGAAGCUCAAGUUUCCUUAAUUGAGUGAGUUCAAUCACUUCAGUACCGUUAUUAUUGCUGGAUUCGUCUCCUCUCUGGGCAGCAAAAAUCACUUCCAUAUUUUGGCAACUACUCACUUUGAAGGACUGAAGUUGUUGAAGGCCUCUGCCAAUGACCAAUGGAAAUACUUUUUUCAAUUUAUCACACCCUUCCACCUCUAUGGUCUUUAAUUUGCAAAAAGACUCUGCUGUGAGUGGACCACGACAUAUUUCCUCAAGGUUCCUUAAAUCUUCCAAAAAUAAUGACUCCAACAGGGGGAAUGCAGUCGUCGGAGCUGGCGUACAAUCCAUUGUGUCAACAAGACGAACAAUGUUGCCAUUACGUCGGAUUUCGAGACGCUUCAGAUGUGGAAAACCUUCUCUGCCUAGUUCACAAAGAAUAUUCUUAAUGUCCGGCAAUCCAUCCAAACUUAGGUCUUCAAUACCCUUCAAUUGCAUGAUAUGCCCCUCGUUCAAGCAAAUGUUGUCACCAUUGGUGAGCUUCAGUCUGAAUAUUCUAGAAAUCCCAUAAGAUGGGCCAACCGACCACCAGUCAUAUACUAUCAAUAUCCUGUACCUUCGCAGCAUUUUGAAGAACGACAAGUCACUCGGUAGAUUCCCUGCAUCUUGGAUGAAUAUUUCUAAAGAAGUCAAUUUAGAUAAACGAUUCAACUCAUGAAGGCUGGCAUUUCUUCUUUCAUCGUCGACUUCAUCAACCUUCCCCCACUCAAUGGGACUCUCACCAACAUAUAGUUCUUCUAAUCGGGAUAAGCUCGAUAAGACAUUAGGGGGAAUAACUCUCAGUCGGUAACAUCGGCCCAAAUCCAACAACCUCAAUUGAGUCAGCUCGCCCAUUUCUUCAACUAGUUUCUCCAUAUCAGAACCUCGAAGUGUAAGUAUUUCUAAUUUCUUCAGGUCUCCAAUAAUAGCUAUGUCUCCUAGUAUACAAAAAUCCAGAGACAAUGUUUGAAGGUUUUGUAAGAGACCAAGCGAUGAAGGCAAUGCCGACAAAUGCAUCUUAGAGAAAUCUAAAACUCUAAGCUCUGUCAUCCCGGUAAAAAUGUUAUCUGGAAUUCUCAAAGAAGGAUCAUUGCGAAUAUGAAAGUAUUUAAGUUGCGGACACUCGAACCCUUGAGGAAGCUCACUAAUAUUACUAUUCUUUAAGGAGAUUGCGGUGCAAACCUUCAGUGUAUCCUUAUCUGGCCAGCUGGUCAGCGGAACAACCUCAUUUUCCACCGCAAACACAUGUUGGACCCUAGAUGCAAUUGAUAUGGCAACAUCACGAACAACAUCAUGCAUAGAAAACCUUUCACUAGUAUCGCCAUCAAGCAGCAAGCAAGAGUUCUUGAGUUUAUCAACCAAUGUAUGUGCUCUAUCCCGUGCCUCUUCCAACGUGUUGAUGUUUUGAAACAGACCCAGACCCAUGCCAUAAUAGAUCACGUCUUCAACGCAAGAGAUGAACGAGUACCCUAUUAGCAAAAACGUUUUCCUGAGUUCCUCACCUUCUAAAUGAUAGUAACUCAGCUCUAAACUUGAAUAGGCGGGCCCCAAAAAAGACUUAUUUUUCAAUUGUCGUAAAGCAUCCUUCCAUACAUAGAGACUCGACUUAUUUUUCAAUGCCUUUGCUACGGGUACAAUGGCAAUGGGCAAACCAGCACAUUCCUUGACUAUCUCUGUUGCGACAGAUUUCAGUUCACCAUUUUCUAUGCAAUCACCUGUCAUCUUCUUGAAAAGACUCCAAGCUUCUUUUUCGUUCAGAACAUCAACAAAAAAAUUUUGUUCACAAUCCAUUUUACAAGACAACACAUCUUGACUUCUUGCUGUCAGCAGAACUUUACAUCCGCCGUUAUCAUCUGCCAAUGGAAUUCCAAUGGCCUCCAAAUCAAGACUCCCCCAAAUAUCAUCCAAGAUUAUCAGGAUCUUUGUCUCUUUCUUCAAUCGUUCAAGCAGCCUCCCUGCUCUUACAGUUUCAUGACUCUGUUCAGCCAAUUCUAAGCCUAUCUUCUCUGCGAUUUCUCCUUGUAUUUCUUUUGUUUGCAGUGUUUGGGAAACACGUGAAGAAAUGACCUUCUCAAAGAGAUUAUUUUCCUUGGCCUGUCUGCCAACUUCUUUCACCAGCGUUGUCUUUCCAAUGCCACCCAUCCCGUACACCCCAAUCAUGUUGAAGUUACGGUUGCUGAGUGCGUCUAGUAUCUCCUUCAAGGUGGACUUUCUCGAUUCAAAGUGCAUGAAAUCCUGGGUAGACUUAAGCCAUGUCUCCUCUGGAAUGGUACGGAAGGAAACACUGUCGAAUCUCCCUUUUUCAUGGAGUCCAACUAUAGCAUUCGCUUCUCUUUCUGCUUUCUUGCUAAGCUGGUACCGAGUCUUCAAAUUAGGACACAACCCUUUCAGACACCGGUUGUUUGACUUCUCUUUGUCUUCAAUAAGUGUUUCGACUUCGUUGAUUGCCUCGUCCACAGUAAUCAGCCACUCCUCAACGUGCUGUUGAAUUCCGUCCCCUUUAAUUCUGGAAUCAGCAACCUUAUGUUGCACACUGUCUCUAGCAUUCUUGAGCUUAUCGACUUCAUUAUUCAGCUUCUCGAAGUUGGUCUUGUAAGUGCAGCAGUAAGUAAAUGGAUGAAUUAUGGGAGCAACCAAGUACUCUGCAACUUUUGCAGCAACGGGGAUAACAAUAUCCAUUAUCCCUUUUUUUUUUUUUUUUUUUUUUUUUCUUUCAGAAAACAGGGGAAAGCAAAACUAAUCAAACUGAGCAGAACUAAUCAAUCAGCUGGGAAGAGGGAAAUAAGAAGUUUGGAUAAAUUGCUAAAAUAAGAGGUUGAAUAGAUUUAAGGGAGGAGGAGAGGAAAAGAGUAAAAAAUCUAGAGAUUAAAGAAAGGGGGAUCCUUUUUCUGCCAAGACAAAUUGAAAAGCGAGUGCAAUGAAAGAUUUUCAAAGAAGGUAUAGGAUCGAGGACAAGGAUUAUUAAGAAAAGGGAGACAGAAACUGAAGAAGAGAUUUCAGAGAACUCCAGAGAUUAGAGAAGAGGGAUGAUUAGGAAAAUGCGGAGGCAGGCAGUUGUGAUCUCAAGUCUCAAGGGUCAUCUGAAUAAUGCAAAAAAGCCAAACUAAAUUCAAACAGGGAGAAGACUCGUGCUUCCAAGUCAACUAUAGAUUCUUAAUAACUGAGAUAGAUGGUUAUAGUUGCAUGUAGAUAGUGUCAAAGUUAUAGGUCAAUUGGACAGCGCAAGGUGGCCUUUUGGCAUUUCAUUGAAUUUUCUUGUUACCAGUAAGUGCUAUGCUGCCGUUGCCGGCCUUUAUGAUUUUUUUUUUUGAAUUUUUAUUGAAUUUUCUUGCGCUUUUCUAAUAACUCCGCUAUAAAGCCCAUGUUUCGGGCCUUUAUGAUUUUUUAUUUUUUUUAAGAAAUAGAUAUACAAAUAAAAUGAAAAAAAAAAAAAAAAACCUGUUGCGUGGUCGUGUGGGUCCUCGAAAUCACUUCGGCAUUUAAUGGAGCGGUUGGAUGUACUCAGCAUCUACACUUCCACGAAGGUUCCUGGAAGUUGCGAGUGUUGCCGGCAUUUUCAAACUCGGAAGGUUUCAAGAAUUUUUCUUUUCUUUGAAAUAAAGGUUUCAAUAAUUAGCUUUGAUUAUUAUGUAAUAUACGAUAAUCUAGUGAUGACGACGACUUAUAUAUGUGAUUAAAUGCUAAGCUGGUGGAUUUGUAAGUAAGAACACAAGGCAAAGCAUUUUUAUCUUCUUAUUACCACAUUCUUCUAAUCAAUUUGCUUUCACCAACAAAAAUAAUCAAUAAUUUUAAAUAGUUGGAUCUUAAGCUCAAAUUUUGACAAUACAUGAAUGAUAAUGCAUACUUAUUUUUCAAGUGCAAACUCUAUUCAAGAGAGGAUCUCAAUUUUCUAUUAUAGAAGAUCUAUUCGAGAGAAGAUCAUAGUUAAAGCUUUGCGUUGAUUGGGGAACAUCAAAUACAAACAAAGACCACGCUAAAAGAAAAGCAAAAGCUGGCGAGAUUGAUAAAGAAAGACUAAUAAAGCUUUCCUUAACAGCAUUAAUCAUGAUUAUUUGAUAAACUAGAGGUGAUCACUGACAUUCAUGAGAAAUUUAACGGUAGGAAAAAGAAGUUAAAAAAAAUGGACAUUCGUGGGAAACCGGCCUUGAUGGUUAAUGUGCAACCGGAUGUGAGCAAAAGGUCACGUAGUGAGGGCAUUGUCACAUGGUUGGAGAAAUUGACAGCAUUUUUAAUUGUUGUCAAUGAGGUUGGUGAAGGUAGGAAAAGAACAAAUUUGGGUUAUUCCAUUGUUUUGGGAAAAACAUUGAAAGCGGUGAAAGAAAAUGUCAAUGAAAAUUGGUCGGAGCAGUACAAAGAUCAGUUAUGAAGAAUAUUAGGGAAAUGAAAAACUGAAAAAACAAAAAUCAAGAAAUAUGAAGAGACCAGUGAAGGGGACAUGGCAGAGGCCAAUUUAUAAAAGUAAUUGCAGAGGCGAAUUUGUAGAACUGAAAAUAGGGAGAUGAGUUGUAGGUGGGAAGAUAUGAAAAAUAAUAUACUUAAAAUUAUAUCAUUUUAGGUUAAUUUUUUUAAAAAUAAAACCAAAACCACAUCAUUUUAAAUAUAAUUCUUUAUCAAUUUAUUUUUUUUGUCUCCAAUCAUUUGCUAAACCAUAUCAAACAGGUACUUAUUCAAAUUUUACAUUUUCUGUUCUCAAAAGUAAACGAAAAUGAAAUGAAAAAAAGAAUGAGACUUGGCUCGGGUGGCUAAUGCUGACAGUGGCUAAUGAUGCCGACAUCUUCCAACUUGCAACAACGUUAAAAAUACGUAGCCUUAACUAAUUGCCUAAAUAAUAAAAAUACUUAGCCUCAGCUGACUUGUUCCAAAUCAUUAAAUAAUUCUUUUAAUUAUUAAAUAAGUUUGCUCUUGCUAAAUGCUAAUGGAUACUGAGCAGAAUGUCAAAGACGAAUAACUGCAUUUGGAAUAAAAAUAUUUCGAUAUUAGUUUGAAGGAAAAGUCUAGUAUUAAAUUGUUCUUCAAAUAUGUACAAGCUCAGAUCUUGUAAUUUGUAUGACCUUUUUUCGAAGAUGAGAAUAUUUCUACCUUACACGCUUUAGAAAAACUAGGUGAUAGGAAAAGAGUGUAGGAUAUAAAUUAAAGCUUAAUAAUAUUAUGAUCAAUUACUGAAAUAUUACCAUGGGCACUAGAUGAUAGGAAAAUAGCUCAUUUAUACAUUAAUAGAUUAUAUUAGUGAUAUAAGGACUUUUAAUCAAACUCAUGCCCCAAGUUGGGAACAGCUAAACGGGCAUUUCAUCGAACAGUUGAUAUUUGUAAGUAAGCAAGCACACGGCAAAGCAUUUGAGCAAAUAUUUUUAUCUUCUUAUUGUCGCAUUCUUCUAAUCAAUUAGCUUUGACCAACAAAAAUAAUUAAUAAUGUAAAUGGAGGAACUUGGGUUCAAAUCUAUAAAUUAAUAUCGGUAAACUACAACCCUAUUUUGAUCAAAGUUUUCAACUCAACAAAUAUAGAUUAGAGAUUAUUUGUUAAUAAAAUAUAAAAGAGCCCAAACAAAAAAAGAUUUGACAGUAUACGAAUAAUAAUUUAUACUUAUUUAUUGAAUAUAUCUUAUUUUAAUCGCUUAAGGAAUUACAAAGUUGAUGAAAAAAAAUUUAUUUUUUUUAUUUUUCACUUCUUAAAAAUUUUUGGAUGAAGAGAAUCCUCAAUCUUCAUUUACGUUCAGUGGUGGAUCCACACGGAGCCUAUAGUGGGCAAUUAAUUGACUCCCGUAAAUUUUUUUUUCCAUAAUUUUCUAUUUAUUUUUGAUAUUUUCAUGAAAUUACAUAAAUACUUGCAUAAUUGCCCCUAAUAAAUACAAAGUCUAUCAAUUUCAUUAAUUUUUUUUUAAUUAUUGUGUUGUCCCUUGUAAGCCAAAUUUUUAGAUCCGCCCUUUAAAUAGGUUGUUACAUUUAUUGUUCUCAAAAGUGAUGACUUCUCCUAGUAUGAAGCUCCUACCAUAAGAAAAAGGUCUCCAUAAAACAUUUCGAGCUUUAACUAUGAUCUUCGGUACUGAUCUAACUUUUUUUAGUCCCCCCCAAAAAAGAAGCCUAUAUAUAUAUAUAUAUGUAUAUUGUAACACAUUAGGACAUGAACUUGAAGCUUCUCAAGUGUUUAUGCAAUCCGGUUAACAUAUACAAGUUAUGAUAGGUAAAAUUGCUAAUAAAUUUAGAAGCCUAAAAUAUGGAAUUUGAUUAAGACUUACUAAUUAUUGGAGCAUUUUUUUCAUCUAGUUUUUGGAGAUUGAAAGAACUUAAAAUUACAGGUGAUCAUAUCUUAAUUGGCAGACUCUUGAUGCUGAUAAAUGACAAAAGUCGUAGAUUAGAGAGUUCUACGGAUUGAGUAGCGACUUGAGACAUUGUACAAUUUGUUCCAAUGCGAAUGAUUCAUAGUGACUGCACAUAUGGCACCUUUUUGUCGAAAUGACACAAUUUCUCUUCAUUGUGCUAGAGAAAGGUGGGUAGAUUUCUGUUGUACAAGCAUUAUUGGAAGAGAUAUCAAGCCACUCAAUGUUCAGAUGGUCCAAACAUGUGUUCAGGAGGCACUAACAUAGCAGAAAUUGAGAUAGUUUUAGUUUCAUCAUACACUAAAAAAAUAUACACCAGAGAUGGAGCGAGGUGUAGCGGAAGCGAAAAUUGAUAGGAUAGGAAACACUAGUUAUCAUUUUAGUACAGGAUUAAGCCAACGCGAUUAGGUUAUACUCUAAUCGAAGCGUGAUUAGAUAUCGUUUUAAUCCAAACGACUCAAUGGGAUUUUUAAUAACACGUGAUGUGAGAUUAGAUGACGCUCUAAUCCAAACGACUCUACAAGAGAGAUUUUGAUAGAUAAUCCCAGAGGGAAUUAUAAAAUGGGAGUUUUAUUGAAUAAUUGAAUCUGAAGUGCUCAAAACAAUGACAAGAUCUCUCUAGUUAUAAUAGAGGAAACCCACUUUCCUAAAUUAACCUAAAAGGGAAACUGAAUCACAAUUAGAAUGGAAAUAAAAGACUAAGAUACAUACCAUAAUUGACUCAAACUAAAAUAGGAAAUCCUAAAACAAUAAAUAUUCUAGAAUCCUAAAUUACCUAAAAUAACGUAAAUUAACUUCCUACAUCAUUCUUCCCCUCUUAAAAGAAACUCGUCCUUGAGUUUGAAUACAGUCUGGAGGAUGAAACUUAUAGUGUAUGAGCAAAUCAUCUUGUAAUUUGAACUUGUAGCCUUGCUCAUCAAUCUUCCUCGAAACUUUGAAGUAUCCUAACUUCAUCAACUUCCUUCGCUUGUACAUUCUUCGAGUCGAUGACGACUUUCAAGAACGAACAAUGAUCAAAUAACUCUUGCACUUCCCCAAUUGUCGCUCAAUGCGCUCGCCAAUAAGUUUCACCUUUUCAACCAAAUCUUCUUCAAGCACAAUCUUUUUUUCUUCAAUGUGAAUAGGCAGAACCAUUUCAAUCAUUUCAACUUCUUCACCUUGAUUUUGUUGUACAACCUCGAUCGUAUUGUUAAGCUCACUGCUUAAAUUAAGUGCAGAUUAUAUAUCUUCUUUAAAAAUAUCAAAUAGAUCAAUAAUAUCAUCAUCUUCAACACUUAUCUUCUCUUCCAAGGAAACAUCACGCACAUUCUUGAACAACUUGUCAGAUUGAAACCUUAAAUCAAUAACAAAUUGUACAUUUUCUUCUGGCAACUCAUGCGAGUCUUCUUCCUUAACAAUAGGAGAACUCAUUGGUACAUCUUUGGGCACUUUCAUGGUGACACGCCAUUUCUUGCUUAAAUUCUGGAUUUCGUCAAGUUUUUUAAUCACAUCAUCAAAGUUUCUUUGACGUUGCGACUUAAUUUGCGAUUCGAUUUUCUUGGCUAAAUGAAUUGCAUGCUGUAAAUUAUAGAUAGUGUAUAUAGGCAUCCUUUCUUGAAUAUGCAAAUCAAGCCCUUUAAUAAAUCUUGUAAUUGUAUUCUCUUCAGGCUCAUAAUAAUAAUGGCAUCCAUAAAAUCGUUCAAACUCAUAAGCACAAGCAGAAACAGAUCUCGUACCUUACUGUACCAAACAAUAAUCAAGAGGAAUAAACUCAGAUCGCAAAAUAUGCUUCAUACGGUUCCAUGAUUGAACUUUGCAUUUGCCUUGGUCAAGUCGAGAAAUUUGCAACUCAUCGCACCAUUCUGAAGCACUUAUGCUUAAUCUACUGGCAGUAAACGAGACUUGCUUUUCUUUAGGAGUGUGCCAAAAUAGAAACUAGUGCUUAACCUUGUCCAACCAAUCAAGAAAUUUGUUUGGACGUGUAUUUUGUAAAUAAUAUCGGCACAUGAUAAAUAGGAGGGCAAUGAUGGUAGCUUGCCAUUUAAGUUUCCACACAAUGGCAAAAUUGUAAUUAAGGCUCAACUCUCGGGUUUGGUAUGGUCGGCAGCUGGUGGCCGUGAUUGGGACCAGAGGGUAUCGGAUCUGGGAGAUUUGGUGAUAAGGAACUCGAUGAUGGUCGUGGAUCGGGCAGAUUCGCUGCGUUUUGGUCGGAAAUCUGACUUAAAGUGGCGGCUGAUUUUGGUGAUGUGGCUUUUGGUUUAUGGCGGCCUUACGGUGGCGGACGGCUGGAUUUAUGGUCGCCGAUUGCUAGGGAUUAUGGUGGUGGUAGUGCAAAUUGACCGAAAAAGGGGGUGGUUUGGUGGCGGCGCAUGUGGGAAGCACUCGUGGGUUGUCGUUUCGUGUGGUGGCUGCGGGCGGCGAUCAAGGGCUGAAGUUGGUCGGUGUUUUGGUUAGUGGAGGCCUGCAAGCUUGUUGGUAGAGGUGGUUGGCUGUGAAAGUGGCUGAAUGGUGGUGGAUUGCUUGGUGGAGCCGCGGGUUUGGGUUGGUGAUUUGCGGCGGUUGAGGCGGCGAUGGUUGAGGCUUGGUCGGCAGUGGCUAGCGAGGUUUGUGGUGGUGUUGGCUGGCUGAUCGGUGGUGGAAGUUGAUGUGGUGGCUAGGGUUUUCAAAUUUGUAAAGUUUUGAUUUAUUUUAUUUUAUUUAUUUAUUUUUUGUGAUGGAUCUGAUGUGGAUGGAUAUGGGUAGUCAGGAAAGUUGUGCAAUUCGCACAAAACUGCUCUAAUACCAACUAAUGGAGCGAGGCGUAGCGGAAGCGGAAAUUGAUAGGAUAUGAAAUACUAGAUAUCGUUCUAGUACAGGACUAAGCCAACGCGAUUAAGUUAUGCGCUAAUUGAAGCAUGAUCAGAUAUCGUUCUAAUCCAGACAACUCAAUGAGCUUUUUAAUAACGCGUAAUGCGAGAUUAGAUGACUCUUUAAUCCAAACAACUUUACAAGAGAGAUUUUGAUAGAUAAUCCCAGAAGGAAUUAUAAAAGAGGAGUUUUAUUGAAUAAUUGAAUUUGAAAUGCUCAAAACAAUGACAAGAUCUCUCUAUUAGAGGAAACCCAAUUCCCUAAGUUAACCUAAAAAAGAAACUAAAUCACAAUUAUAAUAGAAAUAAAAGACUAAGAUAUAUACCAGAAUUGACUCAAACUAAAAUAGAAAAUCCUAAAACAAUAAAUAUUCUAGAAUCCUAAAUUAUCUAAAAUAACGUAAAUUAACUUCCUACAUUAUUCAAUACAUCAAUAACAAGUGCACAAACACAAAUAUGAUACACUCAUCUCUUUAAUUAAUUCAAGGCUUAAAUACUCUUUCGGUUGAAUCCAAAUUGAACAUGGUAGCUCUUGGACACCAUCCAUGAGAAAUAAAACUAGCUUCAAAUUAGAUUUCUAAGUACUCAAACAAAGCUAGAAGCAUAAUAAGUUAGAUUUCUAAUUACUCAAACAAAGCAAGAAGCAUAAUAACGAAAUGAAGAAAGAAACAAAAGGUCCCCUCACCAACGCCAUCUGACUCUUAGUAUAUAGAAAGAACUCGAGGCCUUAUUCUAGAUGCUGCACAGAAGGUUGGCCCGCAUUGUCUUCAUAAGUUUGGACUCUCUAUAAACAAAGAGCAAAAACACAUUGAAGGUGUAGUUUUCACAUAAUUAAAUUGCACAAAUUAGCCUCCAUCAUAACCAGUUAAUGCUUAAGAACACAGAAAUCCUUCAAUUCUCUCUAUAAGCAAUUACUUUCAUUUUUUUCAAUUUCUUGUUCGCUAUAUCAUAUCUAAUAGCUAAUCUUCAACAUAACAAUACAGCAGAGUAGUUAUGUUUUAAAAAGAUGUACCAAUGUGAUUUAACAUAAAUAAAACGUAUUUAAUCAGCACAAAAAUAAAAUCAAAACCUCCCAAUUUGUAUGGAUUUUACCUUGCCACUGUCUUUUGCAUCUUCCUUCUUUUCAUUAGCCUUGUUGGGCGUCUCAUUCUUUUUUUUCCUUCUCUUCCUAAUCAGAUUUAAAAUGAAUUUGUCAAAAAUUUGAUGGGUACUUUUUCUUUUUCCUUUUUUAUAUAUAUCCGUUAUUGAAUCAAACUUUUACAAAAAAUCAACAUCUCGUAUUGAAUGAAUACAUACCUUUUUUUUUAAGAUAUAGGUAUUGAAUGGUUGUAUUAAGGUCGCGAUCCAAAGUCCAACAUUCUUCAUCAUCCCACCGUUUAAGCUGCACUUGGUGUAACUUGGGUGUGCUUAAUUCUCCUCCUGAGAAAAUGUUCAUAUUGGGGCAAUUAUCCACCACUAAUCUUUCCAGAGAUGGGAAUUUGAAGGCGCAAUUAUUGCCAGAGCAGAAUCCUGUCAGACUUUCUAAGUUCCAGAGCAGCAAUUCCUUCAAUUCGCUGAAAACAAUUUCAUUUUUUGCUGCAUAAUUAUCUCCCUCAUCACCGUCAUCUGCCACUAUUUCUAUUAUCAUCUUGCAUCUACCUAUGCCCAUUUCCCUCAGUCGCACCAGACUCUUUGCAAUUGAGGAUGUUAGUACAUUUAUCAAUCCUAUGCAAUUAUAUACCAUCAAAGUAGUUAGAUUUUGAAACGAUGUCGAGGAUGGCACUAGAUUAAUCAAAUUGUGACAGUCACAUAUGUCCAGGUUUUCCAAAUUGUUGGCAUUGGAGGACUCUUGUUUCAAAAUUUGCUUCAGACCACGAUGCCGGUUUAUUCCUCUUAUCAUUGCCUUCAUCCCGUUUUCAACCUUUCCAAAUAGUCUAAAAAUAUACUCGUCUCCUCCUAUAAUGAGAACUUUGGUUGUGUGAAAUCUCUGGAGGAAAUCGUCGAGUGAUAAAAUAGCUGUUGACUCAUCAAUCCAGACAUCAAGAAGUUUAAGUUUGCAAAGCAAGUCUUCUGGAAAUAGACCUAUGUACUUUUCAUCAAUACUCAAAUCUUCCAAAUUGGGGAACAUCUGGGUGAUCAACAAUCACAAAAAAAAAAAAAAAAAAGCAAGAGGGAGUUAAAUCUUCUUUCUAACGAUUUCAAAAAUUAAAGUAAAUACAAAGCAUUUCAAUGAUGAAUAUUGAUGGCCGGACAAAUUUAUGGAUAUGUAGAGAGAGUAUGAUUUUCAGCGGUAAUUAUUUUCUUUUUUUUUUCAAAUAUAGUAAGUGAUGUGUAUUUUUUUUUUCAUCCUCUCUUCUUAACUUUCAAAUUUUAUUAGAUUUGUGCAUAAUGUCUACAAAAAAGACUUCAAUUAUUCUCAAAUUGCAUUUGAACUUCUAGAUUCUUUUAAUCGAUCCGCUUAUUUGGUUUCAGUUGAAAAUCUUACAAAUUUCUUUUUUUUUUUUUUAAAUUGGUUUUUUUAACUUUUUUCUUUUCAAGAGCAAAAAUGAAUAAAUAACUUGAUUUUAAAAAGUUUAAUAAUAUAGUAAGAAGCUGGUAUUUCAUUAAUAUUCAUCCAACUCAAUGGAAUUGGAUAUAUUUACUAUUGUACAAGAAUGGAUUUUCUUGUACAUAAAGUUUAAUAAGAUAAGAUUUCUUCAUUUGAGUUUUGUCCAUCUCUCUCUUUAUAUUUUUAAAAAUAUUAUUUUUGUUAACACAAAAUGACCAAUUUCUUCUUCAACAUCAAAAUUGACAAUCAUUUUGUAUGUAACAAUACUGUAGUAAGGACUACUAAUUUUAAAUAGCUCUUAAAAGAUUAUCAGGGAAUUAACUGUGGCUUGAAAAACCGUAGAUAUUUUGAGUAUUUUCUUCGUUUGGCUAAUCAAAUGCAGAGUCUCUUUCGUGUAUUUAACUAAACAUAUAGACAUAAAAUAAAAAGUAGAUGAAGAAGAAAAAAACUGAUAAUUAAGAGAAAAAAUUUGAACGAGAAGGAAAAAAAAAUACUAAAUAAUUUUGUAUUCAUUCUUUCUAACUGACAUCCAAAUCCAUCUAUGGUUGUAGCCAAUUCAAUAUUCGAUAAUAAGAAGAAUUAUUGAAGAAUGAUAAUUAUGUUUAUAUCGAAUAUUGAUAAUUAUGUUUAUAAGGAUAUUAUAUUAGUAUAAAUAAGCUGAUUUAUAGAACUAACAUUUUGUUACUAAAAGACAAAUUGAUGAGGGCAAUAUAUGGCGACAAUAAAGCUCUAAACUCUCAAGUAGAAAUACUUUUAAGUACGUAAGAAUUGAACAAUAAUUACAAAAGUCUUGCACGUACCUUUUUGGUGGUCUCAUGAAUAGUGCUUUUAAAUUUCACAUGGGGACAUCCCCUUAUUAUUAAUUGUUUCAAGGAUGGAAAUUCAAAAUGCAGAUCUCCUGUGCAGAAGCUUGUAAGCUGCGGAAGAGAACCAAGUUCAAGUGUCCUUAAUUGAGUGAGUUCAAUCACUUGAGUGAUAUUAUUGCUGGAUUCAUCUCCUCUAUCGGCAGCAAAAAUCACUUCCAUAUUCUGGCAUUUUGUCACUUCAAUGGACUGAAGUUGUUGAAGGCCUCUGCCAAUGAGCAAUGGAAACACAUUUUUCAAUUUAUCACACCUUUGCACCCUUAUGUUCUUUAAUUUGCAAAAGGACUCUGCUGUGAGUGAACCACGACAUAUUUUCUCUAGGUUACCCAAAUCUUCCAGAAAUAAUGACUCCAAGAGGGGGAACGCUGUCAGCGCUGUUGCACAAUCCACUGUGUCAACAACACAAAAAAGGCUGCGAUUAUCUCGGACUUCGAGAUGCUUCAGCUGUGGAAAACCUUCUCUGCCAGGUUCACAAAGAACAUUCUUCAUGUCCAGCAAUCCAUGUAAAGAUAGGUCUUCAAUACCCUUCAAUUGCAUGAUAUGCCCCUCGCUCAGGCAAAUGUUGGCACCAUUGGUGAUCUUCAGUUUGAAUUUUCUAGAAAACCCAUCCAAUAUUGGGUCAUCCGACCACAGAUAUCCUAUGAAUAUCCUGUACCUUUUCAGGAUUUUGAAGAACAACAAGUCGCUUGGUAGAGUCUUUUCAUCUUGGAUGAGUAUUUCUAAAGAGGUCAAUUUAGAUAAAUGAUUCAACUCAUGAAGGCUGGCAUUUCUUCUUUCACUGUCGAGCCCUUCAACCUUCCCCCACUGAAUGGGACUCUCACCAAUAUACAGUUCUUCUAAUCGAGAUAAGCUUGAUAUAACAUUUGGUGGAAUAACUUUUAGUUCGAAACACUUGCUCAAAUCCAACAACCUCAAUUGAGUCAGCUGGCCCAUUUCUCCAACCAGUUUCUCCACAUCAGAACCUCGAAGUGAAAGGAUUUCUAAUUUCUUUAGGUCUCCAAUAAUAGCGAUGUCUCCUAGGUUGCAGUAAUCCAGACACAGUGUUUGAAGGUUUUGUAAGAGACCAAGCGAUGAAGGCAAUGGCAAUAAAUGCAUCUCAGUGAAAUCUAAAACUUUAAGCCCAGUCAUCCCAGUAAAAAAAUUAUCUGGGAUUCUCAAAGAUGGAUCAUUGCCAAUACGAAAAUAUUUAAGUUGCGGGCAUUCGAAACCUUGAGGAAGCUCACUAAUAUUACUAUAAAUCAAGGAGAUUGCGGUGCAAACCUUUAGUUUUUCCUUAUCUGGCCAGCUGAUCUGCGGAGCAACCUCACUUUCCACCACAAACACAUGUUGGUCUCCAGAUGCAAUUGAUAUGGCUGCAUCACGAACAACAUCAUGCAUAGAAAACCGUUCACUUGUAUUACCGUCAAGCAACAAACAAGAUUUUUUGAGUUUAUCAACCAAUGUAUGUGCUCUAUCCCACGCCUCUUCCGACGUGUUGAUGUUUUGAAACAGACCCAAACCCAUGCCAUGAUAAAGCACGUCUUUAACGCAAGAGAUGAACGCGUACCCUAUAAGCAAAAACGUUCUCUUGAGCUCCUCCCUGUUUAAAUGAUUGUAACUCAGCUCUAUACUUUUAUAUGCCACCUCCAGUGUUCCACUGAUGUUUCUGAAGGAAGGCCUUCUUAAUUCCAGCAAGGAAUCCUUCCAUUCAAACAAUCUCUUAUUUCUUAGUGCCCUGGCUACGGGUACAAUGGCAAUGGGCAAACCAGCACAUUCCUUGACUAUCUCUGUUGCUACAGAUUUCAGUUCACCAUUUUCUAUGCAAUCACCUGUCAUCUUCCGGAAAAGACUCCAAGCUUCUUUUUCAUUCAGAACAUCAACAAAAAAAUUUUGUUGACAAUCCAUCUUACAGGACAACACAUCUUGACUUCUUGCUGUCAGAAGAACUUUGCAUCCGCUGUUAUCAUCUGCCAAUGGAAUUCCAAUCGCCUCCAAAUCAAGACCCCCCCAAAUAUCAUCCAAGAUUAUAAGGAUCUUUUUCUCUUUCUUCAAUCUUUCAAGCAGCCUCCCUGCUCUUACAGUUUCAUGACUCUGUUCAGCCAAUUCUAAGCCUAUCUUCUCUGAGAUUUCUCCUUGUAUAUUUUUUAUUUGCGGUGUUGGCGAAACACGUGAAGAAAUGACCUUCUCAAAGAGAUUAUUUUCCUUUGCCUGUCUGCCAACUUCUUUCACCAGCGUUGUCUUUCCAAUGCCGCCCAUCCCGUACACUCCAAUCAUGUUGAAGUCACGGUUGCUGAGUGCGUCUAGUAUCUCCUUAAAAGUGGACUUUCUCGAUUCAAAGUGCAUGAAAUCCUGGGUAGACUUAAGCCAUGUCUCCUCUGGAAUGGUACGGAAAGAAACACUGUCGAAUCUCCCUUUUUCAUGGAGUCCAACAAUAGCAUUCGUCUCUCUUUCUGCUUUCUUGCUAAGCUGGUACCGAGUCCUCAAAUUAGGACAUAACCCCUUCAAACACCGGUUGUUUGAAUUCUCUUUGUCUUCAAUAAGUGUUUCGACUUCAUUGAUCUCCUUGUUCGCAGCAAUCAGCCACUCCUCAACGUGCUGUUGAAUUCCGUCCCCUUUAAUUCUGGAAUCAUCAACCUUAUACUGCAUACUGUCUCUAGAAUUCUUUAGCUUAUCGACUUCAUUAUUCAGCUUCUCGAAGUUGGUCUUGUAAGUGCAGCAGUAAGUAAAUGGAUAAAUUAUGGGAGCAACCAAGUACUCGGCAACUUUUGCAGCAACGGAGAUAACAAUUUCCAUUAUCCCUUUCUUUUUUAUUUUUCGCUUUCAGAAAACAGGGGAAAGCAAAACUAAUCAAACUAAGCAGCAGUAAUCAAUCAGCUGGGAUGAGGGAAAUAAGAAGUUUGGAUAAAUUGCUAAAAUAAGAGGUUGAAUAGAUUUAAGGGAGGAGGAGAGGCAAAGAGUGAAAAAUCUAGAGAUGAAACAAAGGGGAUCCUUUGUAAAGGCAGAAAAUGAAAGCUUUGCAAAGAAGGUGUAGGAUCGAGGACAAGAACGAUUCAGAAAAGGGAGACAGAAAAUGAAGAAGAGAUUUCAGAGAACUCUAGAGAUUAGAGAAGAGGGAUGAUUAGGAAAAUGCAGAGGCAGACAGUUGUGAUCUCAAGUCUCAAGGGUAAUCUGAAUACUGCAAAAAAGCCAAACUAAAUUCAUACAAGGAGAAGACUCGUGCUUCCAAGUCAACUAGAUGCUUAAUAACUGAGAUAGAUGGUUA